GGAGUGGUGCUCGAGUGGUUGAAGAGGCACGCCUGGAAAGCGUGUAUACGCCAAAAGCGUAUCGCGGGUUCGAAUCCCGCCCACUCCG
This 88-nucleotide transfer RNA is filed under the name Paramuribaculum sp. Its description in RNAcentral is "tRNA-Ser". It matches the Rfam family "tRNA". From Rfam's summary of the family: Transfer RNA (tRNA) molecules are approximately 80 nucleotides in length. Their secondary structure includes four short double-helical elements and three loops (D, anti-codon, and T loops). Lineage: Bacteria; Pseudomonadati; Bacteroidota; Bacteroidia; Bacteroidales; Muribaculaceae. The record is from RNAcentral.